This 244-nucleotide small RNA is filed under the name Pongo abelii (Sumatran orangutan). Its description in RNAcentral is "retained intron". The record is from RNAcentral. Lineage: Eukaryota; Metazoa; Chordata; Mammalia; Primates; Hominidae.
CCCUACUCCUCGGCCCUGACCCUCAAGGGCCUCUGCUGUGUUGCCCUAAAGCCCUCCCUUUGCUUCCAGGAUUUCCGGAAAUAUGAGGAAGGCUUUGACCCCUACUCCAUGUUCACCCCAGAGCAGAUCAUGGGGAAGGAUGUCCGGCUCCUACGCAUUAAGAAGGAGGGAUCCUUAGACCUGGCCCUGGAAGGCGGUGUGGACUCCCCCAUUGGGAAGGUGGUCGUUUCUGCUGUGUACGAGG